Long non-coding RNA from Anser brachyrhynchus (Pink-footed goose), 1215 nucleotides. NCBI's taxonomy places the organism in Eukaryota, Metazoa, Chordata, Aves, Anseriformes, Anatidae. The record is from Ensembl.
AUGCUCCCCGCCGCCUUCCUCAGCUCUGCAGAGGUCCUUCCUCCCCCCAGAUGGAUGUCCAGCCCUUUCUGUGCACCUCCCCGAGCCCCUGCAUGUGGCAGUGCCCCUGCUGUCACCCUGGGACAGGGAGUGCCUGCGGAGACAGCCCGCACUGCUUACCGCAUCGAUCCUGCGGACGAGGAUGGGCCUGACCUCCAGCUCCAGCAGCCAGUCGGCCUCCAGGAUGCUGCGGUGGUACUCCUCCAGCUCCAGGCGCUUCUGCAGCUCCUCCAGCAGGGCAGCGUGGCGCGGGCAGCCCCCGGGUCCCACAUCCUGGGGCUCCAUCGCCAUCCCCAUCCCCUCGCACUGCUGCUGCAGGCGCAGGGCGCGGAUGCGCCGGGUGACACCGCGGAUCUGGGCACGCAGGGCGGCCGCCCGCUGCGCGCGGGGCAGCAGGGCCAGCAGCUCCUCCUGGCUCUCCUGCAGCUGGGCUCGCAGCACCCCGGCACUGCUCCCCGCUCCCCAAAAUUGUGUCAAGCCAGCAGGGCUGGGUGGCCGGGGGGUCCUGCUGCAAGGCGGGGGCUGCACAGAGCCUGGAGCCAGUGGCGGGGAGAGGCUGUACCGGCUCCGGUGGAGACGGACCCAGCGCCGGGCGAGCUCUGCUGUGGCCAAGCUCUGGUGAAAAACGUCAGGCACCAGCCUCAAGACCUGCACGACAGGCCCCGUGUUGGUGAAGCCGUGCAGGUCGUGCAGGCUGCGGGGGCUGAAGGUCUGCUCAUGGACAGGCCCCCCCCGCAGCAGCAGCGCCCAGCUCCGGCGGCGGGCGAAGAGGUGCAUGGCCAGGCGCGGGAUGGAGGCCGAGGGGGGCGAGUCCUCGUGCACGUACAAGUUCUCGCACAGCGGGAACACCACCCUGGCGUCAAACCUCUCCUUCAGCGCCCGCAGGUGCUGCAGGUAGGAGGCCAGCCAGCCCACGUAGCCAGCUACGUCAGGGCUCGGCGAGCCGGGCUGGUGCUCGGCGAGCCUCUCCAGGUGCUCCCAGCUCUCCACCUGCCCCGAGGGGCUCCGCGGCAGCACCAGCAGCAGCACAUCGUACAGGGCGCGCAGGUCGAAGUCCUGCCGGCACUGCUGCACGUGCCCCACGAAGGUGUCAAUCUCUCCUUCCAGGGCAGCGUAGAGGGCCUCCAUGGGCAGAGGGGAGGCAGCUGGGAUCGGAGCUCACCUGCGUGGUCCUGA